Long non-coding RNA from Gossypium arboreum, 1100 nucleotides. RefSeq lists it as uncharacterized. Lineage: Eukaryota; Viridiplantae; Streptophyta; Magnoliopsida; Malvales; Malvaceae. The record is from RefSeq and is a predicted model, not a curated record. The transcript has 3 exons.
ACCAAAACGGUGCAUUGAAAAUCAUCAAAUAGAGAAAAAAAAGAAAGUAAAAUAAACUGUUCAUUAAAACACAAGAAAAUGAAAUGAAACGUCAAAACUCAAAGAAACUCGGGCCUGGAAACUCUUCUUCUCUGUCGUUUGAAUUGUGUAUCAGCUACUCAAAGAGAUCGAUUAUCACCCAAAAUCAAAUCUUUGAAGCCUUAUUCUUGGUCAAGAUCACGAGUUCAUUGGGCAGAAAAAAUGUCGCAAAGUCCGGACUCUAUUUUUCCAUCUAUCCUUCGUCUCCGUCGCUUCUCUUAGCGCGAUUCACCAGCCCUUCCACCGCGUACAGGACCUACUCUAUUUAGUAUUGGGGGUUUUCAUGCCGACAUCCUUCUAUUGCCAUCCCGUGAGCCGCUUUGUUGGCUUCCCUUGAGUUUAAUUUGUGUAUUAUGGUUAACGUAUCUCCUUCAACACAAAUAUCCUGGAAACUCAUUUCCUCUGCCAUAGUAAUGGCCUGCAAACACGCCCUUGCCUCGACCAUAACCGGAUCUGCGAUAUUCUCCCAUGGAAAGACAUCUAAAUUUUUAGUUUUUGUGACAAAAUUUUUCGUUUGUUUAAAUUUAAAUGGGUGAAAGAGAUUCAAAAAAUGAAAGAUUCUGGCUUGGGGGGAUGUCUGUACGCCUAAAGGGAGGAUUAGGCAUUCAUCAAAUGAAUCAAGUGAAUGAGGCCCUGCUCGACAAAACCGCUUGGAGAGACUAUAUCGACUGAAUCGUUUUUCCAAUUGGAUUCUCUGUUGCAUGUUGGAUUUGUCGCUCCCAACCCGCUCAAUACCUACUAUGUAAAGGUGCAAUCUUUGAAUAGGUGACUCACCAUUUCCUCAUCUUCUUGACAAACCGGACAAAGUGUAUUUACAACCAGUUUACGAACUCUUAGAUUAUGUAAAAUGGGUAUAUAAUCAUUAGCAAUUCUCCACAUAUGUAUUCGGAUUUUGCUUGGCACCUUAAGAACCCAUAGCUUUGUAAAGAAAGUAGUUGGAAUUUCAUUCUGUAAUCUAGGUCCCUCUGCUGUAAUUAGCCAUUUGUAGCCACUUUUAACUAUAUAAACCCCUUGUAUUGUCA